UAUCCUGGCUCAGGACGAACGCUGGCGGCGCGCCUAACACAUGCAAGUCGAACGAGUGAGAGAGAGCUUGCUUUCUCGAGCGAGUGGCGAACGGGUGAGUAACGCGUGAGGAACCUGCCUCAAAGAGGGGGACAACAGUUGGAAACGACUGCUAAUACCGCAUAAGCCCACAGGUCGGCAUCGACCAGAGGGAAAAGGAGCAAUCCGCUUUGAGAUGGCCUCGCGUCCGAUUAG
RNAcentral lists this ribosomal RNA (234 nucleotides) under uncultured bacterium. RNAcentral describes it as "partial 16S ribosomal RNA". It matches the Rfam family "Bacterial small subunit ribosomal RNA", at positions 15 to 244 of the family's 1533-position model. The record is from RNAcentral.